GUCCUCUACUAGAAAAUAUGCAGAUAUGAGCCACACCAUCUAUUGGAAAAAUCAGGGAUUAUCUGCAGAAGGAAAAGCAGGCACUCCUGGCAGAGAGGCUGUGGAAAUGAGUUGUGAACACGUGUGGUCUUUUCCAGGAUUUUGAAUCUCAACAAGUGACACAAAGAAGCAAGGUAUUUAGAAUUCAUUCUGGUGGUGGCAGCAGUAGUAACAUCCAUGUUCUGGAGCUGCAUUAGAAGUGUAUUAACAAAUUAACAAUAAUUUUUUUUUUUUUUUUU
This 278-nucleotide long non-coding RNA is filed under the name Homo sapiens (human). RNAcentral's name for it is "HSALNT0200511". Lineage: Eukaryota; Metazoa; Chordata; Mammalia; Primates; Hominidae. The record is from RNAcentral.